RNAcentral lists this ribosomal RNA (506 nucleotides) under uncultured bacterium. RNAcentral's name for it is "partial 16S ribosomal RNA". It matches the Rfam family "Bacterial small subunit ribosomal RNA", at positions 29 to 523 of the family's 1533-position model. The record is from RNAcentral.
AGUGAACGCUGGCGGUAGGCCUAACACAUGCAAGUCGAACGGCAGCACAGGAGAGCUUGCUCUCUGGGUGGCGAGUGGCGGACGGGUGAGGAAUACAUCGGAAUCUACUCUGUCGUGGGGGAUAACGUAGGGAAACUUACGCUAAUACCGCAUACGACCUACGGGUGAAAGCAGGGGAUCUUCGGACCUUACGCGAUUGAAUGAGCCGAUGUCGGAUUAGCUAGUUGGCGGGGUAAAGGCCCACCAAGGCGACGAUCCGUAGCUGGUCUGAGAGGAUGAUCAGCCACACUGGAACUGAGACACGGUCCAGACUCCUACGGGAGGCAGCAGUGGGGAAUAUUGGACAAUGGGCGCAAGCCUGAUCCAGCCAUACCGCGUGGGUGAAGAAGGCCUUCGGGUUGUAAAGCCCUUUUGUUGGGAAAGAAAUCCAGCUGGCUAAUACCCGGUUGGGAUGACGGUACCCAAAGAAUAAGCACCGGCUAACUCCGUGCCAGCAGCCGCUGUAA